This 250-nucleotide ribosomal RNA is filed under the name uncultured bacterium. RNAcentral's name for it is "partial 16S ribosomal RNA". It matches the Rfam family "Bacterial small subunit ribosomal RNA", at positions 524 to 774 of the family's 1533-position model. The record is from RNAcentral.
UACGUAGGGGGCAAGCGUUAUCCGGAUUCAUUGGGCGUAAAGCGCGCGUAGGCGGCCUAUUUGGUCGGGAGUUAAAACCGGGGGCUCAACCCCCGUCCGCUUCCGAUACCGGUAGGCUUGAGUCUGGUAGGGGAAGGUGGAAUUCCCAGUGUAGCGGUGGAAUGCGCAGAUAUUGGGAAGAACACCGGUGGCGAAGGCGACCUUCUGGGCCAUGACUGACGCUGAGGCGCGAAAGCUAGGGGAGCAAACA